RNAcentral lists this ribosomal RNA (446 nucleotides) under uncultured bacterium. RNAcentral's name for it is "bacterial SSU rRNA". It matches the Rfam family "Bacterial small subunit ribosomal RNA", at positions 331 to 792 of the family's 1533-position model. The record is from RNAcentral.
CCAGACUCCUACGGGGGCAGCAGUGGGGAAUAUUGGGCAAUGGGCGCAAGCCUGACCCAGCAAUGCCGCGUGAAGGAAGAAGGCCCUCGGGUUGUAAACUUCUUUUAUCAGGGACGAAGGAUGUGACGGUACCUGAUGAAUAAGCUCCGGCUAACUACGUGCCAGCAGCCGCGGUAAUACGUAGGGAGCAAGCGUUAUCCGGAUUUACUGGGUGUAAAGGGCGUGUAGGCGGGAGAGCAAGUCAGACGUGAAAUUCCAGGGCUCAACCCUGGAACUGCGUUUGAAACUGUUCUUCUUGAGUGAUGGAGAGGCAGGCGGAAUUCCGUGUGUAGCGGUGAAAUGCGUAGAUAUACGGAGGAACACCAGUGGCGAAGGCGGCCUGCUGGACAUUAACUGACGCUGAGGCGCGAAAGCGUGGGGAGCAAACAGGAUUAGAUACCCGAGUA